UCACGGAGCCUCAGACAAACAAUCCUUGUGAAAAAACAAAUGUCCUUCCUCAGUCUCAUGGGUUGUCUUGUCCCCAAGCACCCCCACUGGCUGGCGCAUGCUGGCCCUCCACCAAUGGCGCCCCUCAAGUGACUGGGAAGAAAGGCCUACCUCAUGGGUCCCAGUCUCCAGGCAGGGCAGACCUUCUCUCCACAUGGAGCUACCUCCUUUGGAUGGGGAUGGCACAGGGGUCUAUUCAAAAAGAGAGUUGACUUGAAAAUGUGAGGGAGUCUCCAGCCACCAGUAACCAUCCUCGGUGUCCGACCAGAAAAAUCUAAAACCACACGCAGCAGCACUGAGCUGUAUUCACAAGACUUCCUUUCUAGUAAAUGCAACACUUCCUCCUGCUCUCAGACGUGAGCCUCAGAUGCCAAAAUGCAGAUGUGUGGAUGGUAGACGCGUUGCUAAGCAGAAAAGACUAGCAAGUCUGUCCGGCAAAUGAGAUCGUACAGUGGAGGGCAUCUGCUUUGUGGCCUCCACUGGGAUGAGGCUGUCCUGUGCUCCCAUGUCCUGUGUCCCCUGCUCCUCGGGCAGGUGGAAGCUGGUGCCUCUCACCAGGCAUGUGGAAAGGGUCCUCGUGGGUUAAAGCAUAAAGGCUUUGAGGAAAAACGCAGAAAGACUCAUUAAAACGGGAGGCCUACCCCUGGAAAGACGCAUGCUGAGGCCUUGUUCCCGCCCCAGCUGCCUGCGGUUCUCAUGCUGGGGGCUGUGAGGACCCCUGGGCCAGCCUGAGCCACGGAUGACCACCUUCUACUGCUUUGCGGGGCGCUAAGAGGACGCCGACCUCAACCCAGAGCCAGGGAGGGAAAAAUCUCAAACAUUUAAGACUGGGUUCAAAAGCCCCCUGGACAUUUUCUGUCUGCCUUGCCCCCCACCCCCCCUUCGCAUCUGGUUCGGGGCUGUGAAUCAGAAUUCCGAAUCUGUGCUGCCCAGAGGGGACAGGCACAGCAGAGAGGAAACACCCAAAUGCAA
This is a long non-coding RNA of Lutra lutra (Eurasian river otter), 1011 nucleotides long. RefSeq lists it as uncharacterized. The record is from RefSeq and is a predicted model, not a curated record. The transcript is spliced from 3 exons. NCBI's taxonomy places the organism in Eukaryota, Metazoa, Chordata, Mammalia, Carnivora, Mustelidae.